CAGGGGAUAAAAUUUACAGGCAUGACAAUACUUGUAUCCAAGGCAACCUCUUCUGGAAAGGCAGAGUAUAGACUGAGAGCAAGGGGAGUGUGAGGAUUUUGUGGAAUGCUAUAGUCAUACUGUAACUUCUGUAACAUCUGAAAAUGAUGCUGUAGUGAUUAAAAGACCGUGUUGUGCUGUUAUGGUGGUUUUACACUAAAUGAUAUUCCUUGGUUUUGCAUUUCUCUAGAUUCCCAGCCGUCUUGUCAUGAGAACACAUUGCCUCAUACUUGCUGCAAUAGAGUUGAAUAAGUAACAGCUUUUAAAUUGGAUUAUCAACUCACAUUGCUACCAAAUACGAGCAUAUCAAUAGCAAGUCAUUUGGG
This 365-nucleotide long non-coding RNA is filed under the name Homo sapiens (human). Its description in RNAcentral is "HSALNT0084361". The record is from RNAcentral. Lineage: Eukaryota; Metazoa; Chordata; Mammalia; Primates; Hominidae.